This 936-nucleotide ribosomal RNA is filed under the name Triticum aestivum (bread wheat). RNAcentral describes it as "partial small subunit ribosomal RNA". The record is from RNAcentral. Lineage: Eukaryota; Viridiplantae; Streptophyta; Magnoliopsida; Poales; Poaceae.
AUGCGCGUGCAGUGCGACGUCUGCGGCCUCGAGCCGGCCGCCGUGCUCUGCUGCGCCGACGAGGCCGCGCUCUGCUCCCCCUGCAACCGCCGCGUCCACCGCGCCAACAAGCUCGCCGGCAAGCACCGCCGCCUCACCCUCCUCCAGCCCUCCCCGGCCGCCAACGACGCCGCCGCGCCGCUCUGCGACGUCUGCAAGGAGCGGAGGGGGCUCGUGUUCUGCGUGGAGGACCGGGCGAUCCUGUGCGCCGACUGCGACGAGCCCAUUCACAGCGCCAACGAGCUCACGGCCAAGCACAGCCGCUUCCUCCUCGUCGGUGCCAAGCUCUCCGCCGACCCCGUGGACCAGGAGAUCCCCUCCCCGGACGGGAGCUCCGUCGAGCAGGACGACUGCUCGGCCUCGGCCGCCGAGGAAGCCCCUGCAGUUCAUGACGCCAGCCACGCCGGAGGAGGAGGAGGAGGAAGCAGCAUCUCAGACUACCUCACCAACAUCUGCCCCGGCUGGCAAGUCGACGAACUCCUCUUCGACGACGCCGCCUUCGUCGCCGUAAGUCGCCGACCGUCUCUUUACCCGGUUCUGUCCACCGCAGCGUACGUGCGAAAACUAAACGCCAAAACCUUUGCACUUGGGCAGAAGCAGAAGGGGCGCGACGAGCAGGUGCCGUUCCUGGACGCCGACCUGUUCGACGUGGUCGCCGCCGAGCGUCCGGGGAAGCGCGGCGCGUGGGCGCCCCACGUGCCGCAUACGCCGGUUCCGGCCUGGGGCCUGCAGGAGUUUCCGGCCGCUUUGGUGGCCCCGGCGGCGGCGGCGAAGGCCAAGCAGGGGCACGUGCGGGAGUGGUACCACAGCGACAGCGACAGCGACGUGUUCGCCGUGCCGGAGAUCACGUCGCCGCCGGCCAAGCGGGCGCGGCCGUCGUCGUUCUGGUGCCUGUGA